RNAcentral lists this unclassified non-coding RNA (314 nucleotides) under plant metagenome. RNAcentral's name for it is "partial contains small subunit ribosomal RNA, internal transcribed spacer 1, and 5.8S ribosomal RNA". The record is from RNAcentral.
UUUCCGUAAGUGAACCUGCGGAAGGAUCAUUAAUGAAUAACUAUGGCGUUGGUUGUAGCUGGCUUUUAGGAGCACUUGUGCACACCCGUCAUUUUUAUCUUUCCACCUGUGCACUCAUUGUAGGCCUGGAUAACUCUCACUUUUAUCAAAAGUGGAUACGAGGAUUGCUGAGCUGCAAUAUGCUCAGCUUUCUUUGAAUUUCCAGGUUCUAUGUCUUUUUUACACACCCCAAUUGUAUAAUGAAGAAUGUAGUCAAUGGGCUUUCAUGCCUAUAAAACAUAAUACAACUUUCAGCAACGGAUCUCUUGGCUCUC